GAUGAACGCUGGCGGCGUGCCUAAUACAUGCAAGUCGAGCGAACAGACGAGGAGCUUGCUCCUCUGACGUUAGCGGCGGACGGGUGAGUAACACGUGGAUAACCUACCUAUAAGACUGGGAUAACUUCGGGAAACCGGAGCUAAUACCGGAUAAUAUAUUGAACCGCAUGGUUCAAUAGUGAAAGACGGUUUUGCUGUCACUUAUAGAUGGAUCCGCGCCGCAUUAGCUAGUUGGUAAGGUAACGGCUUACCAAGGCAACGAUGCGUAGCCGACCUGAGAGGGUGAUCGGCCACACUGGAACUGAGACACGGUCCAGACUCCUACGGGAGGCAGCAGUAGGGAAUCUUCCGCAAUGGGCGAAAGCCUGACGGAGCAACGCCGCGUGAGUGAUGAAGGUCUUCGGAUCGUAAAACUCUGUUAUUAGGGAAGAACAAAUGUGUAAGUAACGAUGCACGUCUGGACGGUACCUAAGCAGAAAGCCACGGCUAACUACGG
RNAcentral lists this ribosomal RNA (496 nucleotides) under uncultured bacterium. Its description in RNAcentral is "partial 16S ribosomal RNA". It matches the Rfam family "Bacterial small subunit ribosomal RNA", at positions 28 to 506 of the family's 1533-position model. The record is from RNAcentral.